AUGCUACAUGUGCGCACGCGUUGCAUUAUUUCACUACUAAGAACACAAGAUCUACUUAAUCGUAGCUAGAGACCAGUAAUUCUCGACACGGUAGAUGUACCGGUGGUUGUAAUGUUAGCAAUAGUAACGAAGGGCGUGUAGGUUUACCUCCAACAAUAAGGGUGACAGGAAUGAAUCGCUUGAAUUCAUAUAUGUUCACAUGAAAGAAAACGUAAAGAGAUGGAUGCGCGAAGAAUUCUUUCGAAACUUCGGACGACGGUUUUAUCAAAAGUUUGAUCUACGAGACUCGAUAACUUAUCUUGCUGUCGAACUCCGAUCUUGAGAAGCGCCGCCGUUUGAACUUUACAAGUAUUAUUCGUGUGAUGUGAAGAAGCAGCUUCCAAUGGGCGUCUCGAUUUUCCUACGGAUUUCCCAUUCAUCGGAUCCUGCACUAGCAACGCAAGCUCGCAUCUCGCGAUUCUCUCGUCUUAAGGAGAUCGAUGAUUUCUCCAACAUGGAGUUCUCUGCUGAUGAUAAGGAAGAUAAAGGGUUAAAUUAAAAUGAGAAAUAAAAGACGUGGUUGAUAGAAGGUAUAAUACUUUAUUGGCUCGUCAGGGAAAACCUUGCGGCAUAAAAGGGCCCAUCAGGGCGUAUGUAGUGGGGAUACGAGUGGUGGGAGCGUGC
Molecule: long non-coding RNA, 663 nt
Organism: Polistes dominula (European paper wasp)
Lineage: Eukaryota; Metazoa; Arthropoda; Insecta; Hymenoptera; Vespidae
Source: RefSeq, a predicted model, not a curated record